This 253-nucleotide ribosomal RNA is filed under the name uncultured bacterium. RNAcentral describes it as "partial 16S ribosomal RNA". It matches the Rfam family "Bacterial small subunit ribosomal RNA", at positions 524 to 776 of the family's 1533-position model. The record is from RNAcentral.
GACAGAGGGUGCAAACGUUGUUCGGAAUUACUGGGCGUAAAGCGCGUGUAGGCGGCUAUGCAAGUCGGAUGUGAAAGCCCUCGGCUCAACCGGGGAAGUGCACCCGAAACUGCAAAGCUAGAGUCUCGGAGAGGAUCGUGGAAUUCUCGGUGUAGAGGUGAAAUUCGUAGAUAUGUGGAGGAACACCAAUGGCGAAGGCAGCCCCCUGGGUCAACACUGACGCUCAUGCACGAAAGCGUGGGGAGCAAACAGG